RNAcentral lists this ribosomal RNA (452 nucleotides) under uncultured bacterium. RNAcentral describes it as "bacterial SSU rRNA". It matches the Rfam family "Bacterial small subunit ribosomal RNA", at positions 9 to 449 of the family's 1533-position model. The record is from RNAcentral.
GAGUUUGAUCCUGGCUCAGAUUGAACGCUAGCGACGUGCUUAACACAUGCAAGUCGUGCGAGAAAGGAGACUUCGGUCCCUGAGUAGAGCGGCGCACGGGUGAGUAACGCGUGGAUGAUCUACCCUUGAGUUCGGGAUAACGGUGCGAAAGCGCCGCUAAUACCGUAUAACAAUCCAUUUCAUCGUGGGUUCAAAGCAGGCCUCUUCAUGAAAGCUUGCGCUUGGGGAUGAGUCCGCGUCCCGUUAGCUUGUUGGCGGGGUAACGGCCCACCAAGGCUACGAUGGGUAGCUGGUCUGAGAGGAUGAUCAGCCACACUGGAACUGAAACACGGUCCAGACUCCUACGGGAGGCAGCAGUGGGGAAUAUUGCGCAAUGGGGGAAACCCUGACGCAGCGACGUCGUGUGAGGGAAGAAGGCCUUCGGGUCGUAAACCUCUGUCAGAAGGGAAGAA